CACUGUUGAAAUGUGCACACAUUUACUCUGCUGUGAACAGGUGACCAUGUAAUGACCCUUAUAAGCAACAGUCAGACAGUGAGGGCUAUUUCGUAUGCACACAGACUCAAAAAGCAUAAAACAGAAACAUGAAUAAGAUUUUGGCCAUCUUAAGUUUAACUGCAUUUCUCUGCUGCUGUGGUGUGCAGAGUGCUGAAUCAUAUGACUUGAGACGACAAAUCGUCAAUUCUGGGACUGUAGUCUUUUUAGACUUCCUGGAAAAAGUCAGAAACGCUACAGAGAAAUUAGUGAGAGAUGAGCAGUUUAGAAAAUCAAGGAUUUCUAUCCAAGGAUACAUGAAAACCUUAAGAGAGUUGGCAAAACCACUGAAAAAUUGUGAGAGUGCUAGAGAGAGCCAGGAUAAUUCAGCUAUAUUGCCACAGUAAGUCUGUCCACAUUUAU
This is a long non-coding RNA of Sinocyclocheilus grahami, 441 nucleotides long. RefSeq lists it as uncharacterized. The transcript is spliced from 4 exons. The record is from RefSeq and is a predicted model, not a curated record. Lineage: Eukaryota; Metazoa; Chordata; Actinopteri; Cypriniformes; Cyprinidae.